Carassius carassius (crucian carp) is the source of this 632-nucleotide long non-coding RNA. RefSeq lists it as uncharacterized. The transcript is spliced from 3 exons. NCBI's taxonomy places the organism in Eukaryota, Metazoa, Chordata, Actinopteri, Cypriniformes, Cyprinidae. The record is from RefSeq and is a predicted model, not a curated record.
CCACCGCUAUGGUUCCUCCCUCUUCUUAUUUAAAUUCCAAUCCUUAUUUCUAAAAACCCAAAAUUUAGAAUACCAUGAACUGUCUCUUACCCGAGAGUUCUGUUGCCACUCCGGUUCUUUUCUGAUUUCAGGCUGAACUUCUAUUGUUCAGGAUGAUCAGUCACCGUCCGCUCACAGGUCCAGAAGACACAUCCAAGGAAUCCCACGUUCUGACACCAAAUUGUCGUGGCAAAAUUUAAAUCAACUCUCGUCAGCAUAAGAGACUCUCACUCUCAGGUAUAACUAAAAAGAAAGCUUUUAUUCUUUGCAAAGAAGGUCAGACAGUCAUACAGCAACACUGAGUUCCUGCAGAGUGAAACCGACCCAGGAAGAGGGCAGUCCUCAACCUUAUAUCCCUUUGCUGCUUCAAGGUUACAAAUUCUUAACAGCUAGUACUUUCCACACAUAACAAGGAACACUCUCUAUGGGCAGUUUCUCACACAUUUAGGACUUAGGUGACCCCCUCAGGUCAUUCUCAGACAUCUGUUUCCCACCCAGGUGUCAUCCCUCUGAACCCACACAGCAAUUCUAAGAAAACACAUGCAUAUAUAGGCAUACAGAAGCAAUGUUAAAUUAAUUUUUCCACCACAUGA